UCGUGCUGAUAACGCGAAGGUCGCGGGUU
Molecule: non-coding RNA, 29 nt
Filed under: Bombyx mori (domestic silkworm)
Lineage: Eukaryota; Metazoa; Arthropoda; Insecta; Lepidoptera; Bombycidae
Also listed under: 1 other name
Source: RNAcentral